CCCAGAACUGAGCCUCUACUUUGGUCUAUCCUCUUUGGUGUUAAUGAUGUGCAUCUGCCAUUCAAUUAUAAGGAUCCCGAGAGCAUUCUAUCUUGUCUCAAGCUGAAAAGGACCACGUGCUAUAUUAAAAGCUCUUAUAUAUUUGACUGCAUCCUGCAAAUUCUUUCUGCUGUUGCUGAAGCAUUCACAAAUUUAUUUUUGAAAAGUUGUUUUGGUCACAGAAAUCAAUUUCGAGAUCGUAAUAAUAGGGUUGAGUAUAAAAUCAGCUUGUCUGAUCAUAUCGUUCAUACAUGGGAAAAAUGCAUGAGUAAAAAGCUCAGUUUCAUAAAAAAAUACUGGUGCAGCUGUGACCUCACUGGAGGUGUUUGUCUCCUUCAAUCUGCUAGUGUGAACCUUUUGCGGAGUAAUUUUCAAGGUCUAGAGAAGGUCUUGGAUGUUCAUAAGAGGUGAAAUGUCCUAAGUGCCUGCCAAAUAAGCCCACUGAGUUAAAGUCCAAAAGAAUUUGUUUUCAAAGAUCGUCACAGGUUGAGCAGCGUUGUUGUGCAAAACUCCGACGGUGUGCAUGUGGUAUUUUGUAGGUGGAUGGAUGGAACUUGGACAUUGCAGUCGAAGCUUUUGCAGCCCAACUAAAAUAAUUCUGAAUGAACCAUCAUUCAAGCCCACGGGGCACUUUACGUAAUUCUCGAGGAGCUUGCGGAAUUAAAAAAAAUUCUAUAUUAUGCGGAUCAAUAGAAACUAAAAAUUGAAUUAAACUUUAGGUUCAAUUUCGAAAAGAUUUUUGAUAUAUUUUUUGAGCUUUUCUUAACAUUCUUAAUCUCGAUCCCAUGAUAAAAUAUCCGCGAACGUUAGUCUUCUUCUAUUAGAACCCUGACUAUCAGCCCAAGAUAUACCGAACCUGAAACGCAAGUCCUGUGACGCCUGGAGCACACGUGAGCAGGUGUGUCUGCUGUCAACUAUGUUGAAGUCAGGGGACCAGAACAGUAUGUCAGUAUCCCGCUCAACUCGCCCUUUCGUUGAGAAAAAAGCUUUGCAUCCCCCAGACUGAUUUUUGGAGAAGUCGUUUGCAAUCCAGUACGAGGCGAUUCUACUAGAGAACGCGUGUUGAGGAUCAACACGAAACCCUCAGCUCGACAGAACUCCACAGCUGCUUGGCCCUGGCUCUACGUUUUCAUCAGGUCAACGCUGGCCUCUUCAAUGUCUGAAAGAUCUUCUCUUGGUACCCCUAACCUUCCAGUAUUUCCAGAAGCAUCCGAACCACCUGAACUCAGCAGAUCGAUCCAGCAAUAAAAUUAUCAAUCAUCAGACUCCAAUUGAAUGAAAAAAGGAUGAAAUGAAGAAGAAGAAGAAGAACGAAAAGAAGUGUCGACGAGUCCUCCGACUGACUGAUCUGCCAGCCACACCCGUGAGUGGGCCUGAUUUGUACGUUAAUUAUAAUUAGUAGUUUUUAAAUGAUGAUGUUAUAAAUAUUGUUAAUACAAAAAUUCUGAGUUUAUUCGUAUGAAGAAAGAGAAAACUAUUAUUGAACGAAUUAAAUUGAGGUUUUUUUAUUAUCUACUUAAUUAGAAACUGAUAUUUAGAAUUUUACGUAUGUCCUACCGAGAAGAAGAUUGAGAAGAGCGUUCAAAGAAAUUCUUCUAGUGGAAAAUUAAAUUUGCACACCAAAGAUGUGUUUUCAGAAAUUACAGGCCCAUUAAUGUGUGCGGUAAGCUCUUUAAAAAUAGCUCUGAUUUAUAAAUUUUUUUGUAAAUAUAAAUUUAUCAUUUCUGAGAAGGUAGUAGUUACAAAAAAUCACAUCAUAAUUAUGCGGCUUUGUAGAUAAAAAAUUCCAAUGAAAAAUAAACUAGAUAGUAUUCGUGAAAGUUUAAAUCUAUCCUAGACGACAUAGAUCGACAACGCAAAACGGUAUACUUGUUUUUUUCCAGAAGAGGAUAGCUUAUUAUCAGCUGUGUGAAGUUGGCACCCCACUUUCACCGAUUGAAGAAUUUGACUGCAUAUUCGAAGCAGAUUGACGCGCAAAGAAGUGUAGUAACAAUUUUUUCGGUUGUAGUUAAGCCAUUAGGCCAGAAUUUAUUUUUUAAAUACCCUAAGGACAAAAUUAAUAGAUAAGUCGCCGGAGACUUGGUUUUCUAAAACGAAAUGGUGCGUAGCAUAGAUUGUUGCAUGUCAAACACGCGAAAUAGAUUUUUUUUUUGAUAUUUUUCAUUCCCGUCUUCUUUGGGACAAUUAAAAUUUCUACCUUGAGCAAAUUCCCCAAUAAAUCCAUAAAAAACUUAAAAUUUUCAGACGCAUUGCUUAGAGUCUAAUAAAACUAUAGAAUUCUUUCGAAUGUUUUCGGAAUAUUGCUCAUAUUAUAUUUCAGUACUUUUUUCUUUAAACAUUUUCAUCAUUUUGUUAAAAUAACUCUGAAUUCCCCGCACCUAUAAGGAACCGCUCUAAUCCCUUUAUGGACGGUAAACUCUGCACGUGGAAUUACUUUAUAGAUUCUUUUCCCCAAAUAUUAUAUUGUCCACUGCAAUAAUCAUUUUUCGGCUUACUACCAAAUUGUUUAUUAGCAGGAUUAUUGCUUUUUUCUCGACCCUAAAAGACUUCAAGUUCAUUUUGCUACUUCUAUAAUUUUUCAUCGGUAGUAUUGUCGCGACCAUCAUCGUAGGAACAUCUCGACGGAGAUCUUUCUUUCGAUAUCAGUGUUAUAGUUCACCCUUUUUUUGUAAAAUAUAUGUGAAAUUGUGAAUUAAAAGGGUUGUGUGUUAAUGAAACAAUUCCCAUUCUCCUCA
Molecule: long non-coding RNA, 2774 nt
Organism: Diachasmimorpha longicaudata
Lineage: Eukaryota; Metazoa; Arthropoda; Insecta; Hymenoptera; Braconidae
Exons: 3
Source: RefSeq, a predicted model, not a curated record